AUGCAAGACGUGAUCCUCCUCUUGCUUCUCAUGGCGCUCCUCGUCGUCGUGGGCAGCCUGCUCCGGCGUGCACCGCCGUUCAAGGAAAUGAAAACCCGCCUCGCCGCCGCCAAGUGGGCUCUCGUACGGGACUUCUCCGCUGCCUUGCGGCAGGACGUCGUCGUCACAGACCGUGUGACCGCGCACCACCUCCUCGUCCGCCGCGGUGCCGGGGGCGCGUUCUGCAACCGCCCGCCGACGAGCACGGCCAGCUCCGUCCUCUCGCGCCAGCGUCACCACAACAUAGGUUCGGCGCCCUACGGCGCGCUGUGGCGCGGCAUCCGCCGCAACCUCGUCUCGGAGGUCUUCCACCCGUCGCGCCUCCGCGUCUACGCCCCCGCCCGGCGCCGCGCGCUCUGCGGCCUCGUCGCGGACCUCCGGGAACAGUGCAAGUCGUCUAACGAUGGCUUGGUCCUCGCGGCCGAGAGCAUGCACGCUGCUCUGUUCGGCCUCAGCGCCGCCAUGUGCUUCGGCGGCGACGUCGACUCGCGCCUCGUCCGCGCCAUGGCCGAUGGCAUGGAGGAGCUCAUUCGGUCCCUCGUUGGGCUGCGUGUCUUUGCCGCACUCCCGGCGUUGACCGAGCUAAUCUACCGGGACCGGUGGAACAAGCUGGUCACACUCAGGCGGCAGCAGGAGGAGAUGUACCUCCCGCUCGUCAAUGCCCGGCGCGGCCUGCUGCGCCGCCCUUCCGGCGAAGCUCCAACCUAUGUGGACACGCUCAUCGAGCUCCUCGUCCCAGACGACAGCCACUUCGACUCCGGUGCAAAGGCUAGUAAGCAAAGGCUAACAGACGGCGAGUUGGUGGGGCUCUGCUCGGAGUUUCUUGGCGCCGGCACGGAGCCGGCGACGGCGGCGCUGCAGUGGGUCAUGGCCAACUUGGUGAAGCAUGUGGACGUGCAGGAGGCCGUCCGGAGCGAGAUCGACGCCUUCGUUGGAGCGGACGCCGAGGAGGUCAGUGAGGACGACCUCGGCAAGCUGGAGUACCUCAACGCUGUCCUCAUGGAGGCGCUGCGGCUGCACCCCACGGUGCCGUCGGUGGCCAGGCAGGUGAGCAAUACAAUGGUGAUGCCCGACGACCACGUCUUUCUCGACGGUCGUCGCGUCGCGGCGGGGACGACGGUGCAGUUCCCCCUGGAGCGUCUGGCGCGGGACGAGACGGCGUGGGCCGAGCCGGACAAGUUUGCACCGGAGAGGUUCCUUGCCGGCGGCGGGGGCGACGGCGUGAGCCUCGUGGCGGCGGCAGGAAGCGCCGGAGAGAUCAAGAUGAUGCCGUUCGGCGCCGGCAGGAGGAUGUGCCCCGGCAUGGGCGUGGCGAUGCUCCACCUUGGCUACUUCGUGGCAAACCUGGUGAGGGAGUUCGAGUGGACGGAGGCAGAAGGCGACCUCGCUGUCGACCUCGAGCCGCAGGUCGGGUUCUUGAACGUCAUGGAGCGGCCACUCCGUGCUCUGCUCAAGCUGCGGAAUAAAAGGGCCUGA
RNAcentral lists this ribosomal RNA (1515 nucleotides) under Triticum aestivum (bread wheat). RNAcentral's name for it is "partial small subunit ribosomal RNA". Lineage: Eukaryota; Viridiplantae; Streptophyta; Magnoliopsida; Poales; Poaceae. The record is from RNAcentral.